GAUGAACGCUGGCGGCGUGCCUAAUACAUGCAAGUAGAACGCUGAAGGAGGAGCUUGCUCUUCUGGAUGAGUUGCGAACGGGUGAGUAACGCGUAGGUAACCUGCCUGGUAGCGGGGGAUAACUAUUGGAAACGAUAGCUAAUACCGCAUGACAACAGUUAUUGCAUGAUAACUGUUUAAAAGGGGCAACUGCUCCACUACCAGAUGGACCUGCGUUGUAUUAGCUAGUUGGUGAGGUAACGGCUCACCAAGGCGACGAUACAUAGCCGACCUGAGAGGGUGAUCGGCCACACUGGGACUGAGACACGGCCCAGACUCCUACGGGAGGCAGCAGUAGGGAAUCGUCGGCAAUGGACGGAAGUCUGACCGAGCGACGCCGCGUGAGUGAAGAAGGUUUUCGGAUCGUAAAGCUCUGUUGUAAGAGAAGAACGAGUGUGAGAGUGGAAAGUUCACACUGUGACGGUAUCUUACCAGAAAGGGACGGCUAACUACGUG
Molecule: ribosomal RNA, 495 nt
Filed under: uncultured bacterium
Lineage: Bacteria
Description: partial 16S ribosomal RNA
Rfam family: Bacterial small subunit ribosomal RNA
Source: RNAcentral